This 770-nucleotide non-coding RNA is filed under the name Anax parthenope (lesser emperor dragonfly). Lineage: Eukaryota; Metazoa; Arthropoda; Insecta; Odonata; Aeshnidae. The record is from RNAcentral.
UAAAAGUUUUAUCCUUGCUGGAUAUUCAUUUUAUGAUUAUUUUACAUGUAAGGUAUCCAUUUAUAAUAAACUCUAAAUGAGUUAUUAUUAUUUAUUGCAGUAAUAUAUUUUAUUUUCUUAAAUUAGUUUAGAAAUAGUAAUUCAUAAAUUUCCGGUUAAAGUCGUGCCAGCCGCCGCGGUUAUACGAAAGGAAAAAGUGAAUAUUCUUGGUUUAAUAGUUAAUUUAUUUUAUUUAUUUACACUAAUAAUUUUUAGGUGAAAUUUAUAAUUAUUAUAUAAUUAAUUUUUUAAUGAAGCUAUGAAAUUUAUAUAAAAAACAAGGAUUAGAUACCCUUUUAUUAUAAAUGUAACAAUUAACCUGGGUAGUAUUAGUUAUGUUCUUGAAACUCAAAGGAUUUGGCGGUAUUUUAGUCCUUUCAGAGGAAUCUGUUCCGUUAUCGACAACCCACGAAUAGAAGUACUUGAUUUUGUCUUACAGUUUGUAUACCUCCGUCAUAAGAAUAUCUUUUUAGAGUUAAUUUUCUUUAUAUAAUAAAUAUAAUAUGUCAGGUCAAGGUGCAAUUUAUAAUCAAGUGGAAAUGGAUUACAAUAAAUUUAUUUAUACGGAUUAAAUUAUUUAAUUUUUUAUGAAGGUGGAUUUGAUAGUAAUGUUAUUAUUUUAUUAAUUUGAUUAAGGCUCUAAAAUAUGCACACAUCGCCCGUCGCUCUCUUUAUUAAAAUGAGAUAAGUCGUAACAUAGUAGAUGUAUCGGAAGAUGUAUCUAGAAAGUA